UACGGAGGAUCCGAGCGUUAUCCGGAUUUAUUGGGUUUAAAGGGAGCGUAGGCGGGUUGUUAAGUCAGUUGUGAAAGUUUGCGGCUCAACCGUAAAAUUGCAGUUGAUACUGGCAUCCUUGAGUACAGUAGAGGUAGGCGGAAUUCGUGGUGUAGCGGUGAAAUGCUUAGAUAUCACGAAGAACUCCGAUUGCGAAGGCAGCCUGCUAGACUGUAACUGACGCUGAUGCUCGAAAGUGUGGGUAUCAAACAGG
Molecule: ribosomal RNA, 253 nt
Filed under: uncultured bacterium
Lineage: Bacteria
Description: partial 16S ribosomal RNA
Rfam family: Bacterial small subunit ribosomal RNA
Source: RNAcentral